This 645-nucleotide ribosomal RNA is filed under the name bacterium SC1-11. RNAcentral describes it as "bacterial SSU rRNA". It matches the Rfam family "Bacterial small subunit ribosomal RNA", at positions 338 to 974 of the family's 1533-position model. The record is from RNAcentral.
CCUACGGGAGGCAGCAGUAGGGAAUCUUCCGCAAUGGACGAAAGUCUGACGGAGCAACGCCGCGUGAGUGAUGAAGGUUUUCGGAUCGUAAAGCUCUGUUGUUAGGGAAGAACAAGUGCAAGAGUAACUGCUUGCACCUUGACGGUACCUAACCAGAAAGCCACGGCUAACUACGUGCCAGCAGCCGCGGUAAUACGUAGGUGGCAAGCGUUGUCCGGAAUUAUUGGGCGUAAAGGGCUCGCAGGCGGUUUCUUAAGUCUGAUGUGAAAGCCCCCGGCUCAACCGGGGAGGGUCAUUGGAAACUGGGAAACUUGAGUGCAGAAGAGGAGAGUGGAAUUCCACGUGUAGCGGUGAAAUGCGUAGAGAUGUGGAGGAACACCAGUGGCGAUGGCGACUCUCUGGUCUGUAACUGACGCUGAGGAGCGAAAGCGUGGGGAGCGAACAGGAUUAGAUACCCUGGUAGUCCACGCCGUAAACGAUGAGUGCUAAGUGUUAGGGGGUUUCCGCCCCUUAGUGCUGCAGCUAACGCAUUAAGCACUCCGCCUGGGGAGUACGGUCGCAAGACUGAAACUCAAAGGAAUUGACGGGGGCCCGCACAAGCGGUGGAGCAUGUGGUUUAAUUCGAAGCAACGCGAAGAACCUUAC